This 377-nucleotide ribosomal RNA is filed under the name uncultured bacterium. RNAcentral describes it as "bacterial SSU rRNA". It matches the Rfam family "Bacterial small subunit ribosomal RNA", at positions 521 to 896 of the family's 1533-position model. The record is from RNAcentral.
UAAUACAGAGGUGGCAAGCGUUGUUCGGAAUUACUGGGCGUAAAGGGCGCGUAGGCGGCCUUCUAAGUCAGACGUGAAAUCCCCAGGCUUAACUUGGGAACUGCGUCUGAUACUGGGAGGCUUGAGUGCGGGAGAGGGAUGUGGAAUUCCAGGUGUAGCGGUGAAAUGCGUAGAUAUCUGGAGGAACACCGGUGGCGAAGGCGGCAUCCUGGACCGACACUGACGCUGAGGCGCGAAAGCUAGGGGAGCAAACGGGAUUAGAUACCCCGGUAGUCCUAGCCCUAAACGAUGAGUGCUUGGUGUGGCGGGUAUCGAUCCCUGCCGUGCCGAAGCUAACGCAUUAAGCACUCCGCCUGGGGAGUACGGUCGCAAGGCUG